This is a long non-coding RNA of Bombina bombina (fire-bellied toad), 179 nucleotides long. RefSeq lists it as uncharacterized. The record is from RefSeq and is a predicted model, not a curated record. The transcript is spliced from 3 exons. NCBI's taxonomy places the organism in Eukaryota, Metazoa, Chordata, Amphibia, Anura, Bombinatoridae.
GGCAGGAUAAAACACAGGAUGGACAUCAUGAUGCUGCCAUAGCUGGCUCUGCAAACCGAACGUAUCAACCUAAAUAAAGAGCUGUGGGCAGAGAAAGGACCAGGCAUACAAUAUAACAUACUACUGCUUCACUAAUCACUAAGCAUAAAUAAGCAGCGACACGACUGAGCAGCAAAUGG